AUGGGUCUCUCUGCCCAAUUUUGGUGCAUAUUAAGCCAUAAUUCAUCAGCUUCCUCAUGUCUUAUUCAUCAAAGCCAUACACGGCAGCAAAUGGGGCUGCAUAAGAAAGGGACCAACAGCCUGGCCCCUGGCGGCAUCUCCAAGGGUCCUUCUGGGCAUGCCCAUCUCCCAGUGUCUGUGACCUCUGUACUGCCACAGGGCUUCCUUCCACAGGGCACUGUCCUGGACCCUGCUGUGCUGGGCAUGCACCCUGCCUGGCCCUCACACCUCCCAUCUCUGGAGAGUUGGGGGGGGUGCGUUAUACGUUGCCCCCAACUCCUGCCCCAGCUCCAUGGCCCACUUCCAAGAUGGGGGCCUAAGCAGGAAGAGGGCAAGAGGCUCCGACCAGCUGGGACAAGUGCUGGUGUCUGGACUCCAAGGCUGGCUUGGCCCCUUCUUCUGGCUCCCCGAGGGAAUGGUAAGAGAGAGCAUUCAGAGAGGUCACCUGCCUACGCCACUCCCUUUGGUGACUCUGCUAUCCUAAGAAGACUGGAGGCAGAGCCACAGUCCAGCACUCCAGGGAGCACUGAAAGCCAGCCCCAAGGGCACAAGCAGUCCAAUGGAACUGGGCUGAGAGCCCAGGUUGGGACCUGUCCGGUGUACUUCCUUGUUCUCUAAUGAACGUGAGCACGCGUCCAAAGCAAUCCAACAUCGACGGGGAAGCCAAUCAGAAGGAGGAGGACUGGUUGGGUUGGACCCUAAAACACAUUAUAUUCUUAAGAUCACAAUGAGUAACACAGUUUGUGCACAGUCAGGUGUUGGGGUGGGGGCGUCCAGAAAGAGGCUCAAAUACAAAUAUGAGAAGGGAACAGGUCACAUGCAAGAAGAAAAGAUGAAUUAUUCAGCAAAUAAUUCAAAACAUACAAUCAACCCAGCGUCUCAGGACAACUAAAUUGACAUUUAAGGGAGACUUUCAGAUUUCUGCCUCACUCCUUGACACUAAAAUGAAUUCUGAAUAGACCAAAGAUUUAAGAAGUAAAAAUGAAACCGUAAAACUACUAGAAGAAAGCGUAGGGUUAAAAAAAAAAUCCAUAAUCUUGAAUCAUUCUAAGAAUUAUACAGAACCUAGAAUCUGUAAAAUGAAGGAUUGUAUGCAUUCCACCUCAUAAAAAUAAAAAGUAGAUGUAUGGGGGGGAAACCACAAUAAAAAAGAUAAACAAUAAAGCAUGAAAAUAUUGGCAAUUCAUUUCACAAAGGGCCAUUUUAGGUGAUAUGGAGAAAUCAGUAAGAAAAAGAACAACAAUCCAAGAGAAAAAUGGGCAAAGACAUGAAAUGAAUCCAUCCAAAUCUGCUGAACCUCACUCAAAAUCAAAAGGGUGUAAAUGUAACUUACAACGCCAUGUAGACCCUCCUAGGUUCACACACUGGGCGGGCGGGGCUCGAGCCGGCGGGGCUCCCUCUGGUGGCAGGUGGAGGAACUGGGAGAGGCAGGGAGGGGGGACUGCAAGUACCCGGCUGGUGGCACCAGAACACCCACGAUACCUCUGGAGGAUGUAAGAAGGGGGAUCUGUGGGCAUCGGGGAGCU
Long non-coding RNA from Fukomys damarensis (Damara mole-rat), 1565 nucleotides. The record is from Ensembl. NCBI's taxonomy places the organism in Eukaryota, Metazoa, Chordata, Mammalia, Rodentia, Bathyergidae.